GUGCUCACUUUGGCAGCACAUAUACUAAAAUUGGAGUGAUACAGAAAAGAUUAGCAUGGCCCCUGUGCAAGGAUGACAUGCAAAUUCGUGAAGCAUUCCAUAUUUUU
RNAcentral lists this small nuclear RNA (107 nucleotides) under Dasypus novemcinctus (nine-banded armadillo). Lineage: Eukaryota; Metazoa; Chordata; Mammalia; Cingulata; Dasypodidae. The record is from RNAcentral.